RNAcentral lists this long non-coding RNA (4629 nucleotides) under Sus scrofa (pig). RNAcentral describes it as "lncRNA (ENSSSCG00030071841.1)". Lineage: Eukaryota; Metazoa; Chordata; Mammalia; Artiodactyla; Suidae. The record is from RNAcentral.
UUUUUUCUUUGCUAUUUAGGGCUGUACCUGCCUAGUUCCCAGGCUAAGGGUUGAAUUGAACCUACAGCUGUUGGCCUACACCACACACAGCCACAGCAAUGCAGGAUCUGAGCUGUGUCUGUGACCUAUACCAUAGUUCAUGGCAAUGACGGAUCCUUAACCCACUGAACGAGGCCAGGGGGAUGGAACCCGCAUCCUCAUGGAUCCUAGGCAGGGUUGUUAACUGCUGAGCCAUGAAGGGAACUCCUGAAUAAGCUUUCAAUGACUUUUUUAAAAGUAUGCCUAAAUCCUAUGUGAUGCUUUUGAUGGAGGUCUCCAGCAAUGCCAGCCUAGCAGAAAGACUGGGAUCUUAGAGGUGUCACAAACCUUCAUCUUGAAUUCUAAACUGUUCCUGUUUUACAGCUGUACCAGUUGAGGCCCAUCAAAAUCAGAUGGCCUGUUUCAGGUGACACGGCAAGCUGUCUUGACAAAAGCUGGCAAAACUGUGAAACUGGGUUAGAUGACAUUUCAGGGUCACCAUGGAGAACAAUGGCUUCCCUUGUGAGCCACCAAUUGCUCUCCCAGAGUGGGCUAUGUCUCUGGCAAUUUCUAUCCUUGAAAGGCCCUACAUUGCAUAAUCUUACUCUUGGGGAUAAGAAGGAGAUGGGAUCUAAAUGAUGGCAUUUUGGGAACCUACUUAGAGAUCUUGCAAGGUCUCCUUCACCAUUUUUCCGAGGAGGGUGUAUGUCCCAGAAGUAAGUAUGACCCUUUGGCUCCUCUGAGUUUCCUGGUAAGAGUAUCUGUGAGGCAGUCAUUCACACACUAGUAUGUUUUAAACUUCUCUAAAAAGAUAACCCUUUAUUGCACAGACCCUGAAAGGGUAGAGGUGAGAGGUGGGGGAAAAGUAAAGCUUUGCUCUCCUAUCUUCCUGCUGUGAAAUCCUAUCCAUCUUUCAAGAUUCCACUCAAAUGUCAUUUCUUCCAGAAAACCUUCCUCAAUCUUUCUUGGUAGACAGGUUGCUCCCCUUUGACUGCUUCAGUAAAUACCUUGGUCAUAUUCUAGUCCAGCACUUCUCAUAAUCUCUCCCAUAUGUUUAGUUAUUUGUGGGUUGAUUUUAUAUUCCUUAUAGUUCUCCCAGUACCAGGAGCCCCUUGAGGGCAGGGGGUACUUUUACUUCCUUACCCCAUGUAUUGCCUAGCUUAGAAAAAGUAAGGUUACCUUUUGGUAUCUUGAAGCCCUGAAAUGACUUAGAAGGCAGAUGUGAGGUGGUUAAGGCCCAGUCUUGCACAGCCUUCUCUAACUCCUGGGCCACCUCUCUACAGCAAAGUUUGCCUCCCUUCAAAAGGAGCCUUCAUUCUCCUCUCUCCUCUCAUACCCUGGUGCAGAACCCAGUGUGUGCUGCCUGCCUACCUGCUCUGGUUCCAGACGGUGCAGGGUAGAUCCCCAGCUUCAUGACCUCAAACAAGUUACAUCAUCUCUCUCUUCAGUUUCCUCUUUCAUAAAACCUGCCUCUUAAGGCUGUUGUUCUGAGGAUUGAAUAUUACACGUGUAGUACUUAAUACAGCACAAUUUCUUGCACAUACUAAUCUCAACAAAUAGUAGCAAUGAUUUUUAUUUCAAUGAAGUGAAGAACAAAAAAUGCUUAGGACAGUGUCUGGCAUAUAAUAAAGGUUGGGUGUAAGCUGCCAUUUUUAUUUUUGUCUUAGGAAAGCAGAGCAAUGUCGUUUGGAAUCCUUGGAAUCCACAUUGAGCCAAAUUCCUGUUCGUUAACUGCUAGCUAAGGUAUCCUGGGAGAAUUGAUACAUCUAAAAGCAGAUCUCUCAUCUCUAAAAUGGGGGAUAUUGCUACUCUACAGGAUUGUGGUGAUGCUUUAGAGAAAGGAAAAAAAAAAUGACUUAAAAGUUGUGGCAGACUACAUUUACCAAAGAUAGCAACAAUAAUAUCUAUCAGCCAACAUGCUCUUCUAGAAAAUUGUUACCAGCAUCCCAAUUCCCAACUUCAUCAAGAGGCAGAGCCUCGGUCCUGUCUUCUUGAAUCUGGUUGGGCUCACAGGUCAAGAGAACACAGUUGUUGAGAUGCUGGGUGACCUCACAGCUAGGUCAUAAAAUGCCCCAAAGCUUUCAUCUUGUUCGUUGUCACUUGCCUUUGGAUCCUUGAGAUGCCACCUAAGAGGGCCACAUGGAUGAGGAAGUGCAAGCUGCAAGAAGAGGUCAUUCAGCAGGUGGCUCACAACCUCCCCAGCUGAUGCCCUGUGGCUCCCCAGCCACAGGGCAGCAUCAGCUGCACAGGUAUGGAGUGAAGAUGCUUGUAGAUGAUGCCAGCCUUAAAGCCUUCCCAACUGAGGCCCCAGACAGCGUGGAGUAGAGACAAGAAGUUUCCUACAGAAACUGAUUUGUUUUAAGCCUGGAAUUUUGAACUAAUUUGUUAUGCAGCAAUAGUUCCAAUAAACUGCUAGUACCUAGUAAAGACCAGAUAAGAGGAAGUAACAGGAUGUGUUAUUAGAGCUGUUAACAGGAUGUGUUAUUAGAGCUGUUGUUCUGAGGAUGUGUUAUUAGAGCUGUUGUUCUGAGGCUCUCACGGGGGCUUGUCCACCCAAGAAGCCCUAGAGUACAACCCAGCUGCCGGAAAACCCCGCCCCUCGGUCUUCGGCCCCGCCCACCAGCCUCUCAGCCAAUGAGACUCCAGCCCGUAAGCCUCCCUCUCCCUACCCCCUCCCUAUUCCUGGGGCAGAGGAGAGAACGCUGGGUUGAAGUGGCUUAUUGGAGUCCUAGGUGGAAACUGUGGCAGAGCCUGGAGCCCUUCUUCCUUGUUCGGGCAAGGCUGUCCCAGUGCUCGGGCUGCUUUUGUGGAGGGCUGGUCCGCUCUGCCUGGGUGAGGACAGCGUCGUUAAUCUCCUGUCCUUGGCCGCUGUUACACUGUUACGCGGUGACUGGACGGAGGUCAGCUUCACUGGACACAUUCUUUGUUGCAGUUAAGCCAAGCCCUUCAGCUCUGAGAAUUGGCCUAAGCUUGAUUAACUCGCGAGGAAGAGGAAAAUUUACAUUGUGGGGACUGCAGAAUGAGAUAUUUAAGCUGUUCUCUUAAAAAUAAAUGCUUUCCAUCUUGCUGCUUUCAAAGCCAGAUGCUCGCCUGCUUGCAGCCUGCGUGCUCUCUCUCUCCCCACCUCCCUCCAGCGUCUCCUACUCUACUCCCCUCUACUCUUUUUGCUCUCAAACUGGCUUGCUCCCUCCUCCCUCUCCAGUGUUUGCUCCCUUUUUGCCUCCACGCCUCCUCUCUGUUCUCUCUCAUCUCUUCCUGCCUGCCUCUUCAUUGGUGUCUCCUGUCGUUUUUUUUUUCUCUCUUUUCUGCUUGGCUCUUUCCAGGAGAUGCCACUUUUCAGCACCGUUGUUUCUGAGUGGUAAAAACAUGCCAGUUUUGGAAGCUGACACCCGUGUGGUCCCCAAAAGGUAGCAGAGGGAAGGUGGGAUUCUGGAACUUCUUUCAUUUAGCUUUGCUCAGAUUCUGAGUGUUCCUGGUGGAGAAUGUGCCCAGCAAUGUGUUGCACAUUUAAUGGGCAGGAUCUUCUGUCGUCAGCAGAGGGCCAGUACAAGCUGCCCUGAGGUUGGUGGUCCAUCCAUUAGGGCUCAGUGGAAUUUUUCCUAGGCUGUCCCGAGGGGACAUGUGUGGGCAGUGAACAAGGAAGAGAUCUAAGGCAGAUUACGCCUCUCUCUGAAGGCUGAGGAAACAGUCUUAGACUUGGAGGAGAGCUCUCUGGCCCGUGUUAGCUGUGUGAUCUUAGGCCAGUCACUUUACCUCUCUGAGCCUGUUCCUCACCCAUAAAAUGGGAUAAUGGCUGUCAUCUUGCCUUCCUCAGGGAGCCAUUGUGAGGCUCCCUCGAGCUAAUGAAUGAGAACACAUUUUGCAAAGUAUAAAGUGCUGUACAAAUUUAAAUGCUUUUUAUUAUUGUUGUUAUCAUGAUCAUAAUUUUUAUGUCCCACUAAUGCUCAUCUUACAACUCAUCAGCAUUAAGAAGCAGCAGCUCUAAGUGGAAUGAGAUCUUGUUUCUCCCUCGUGCAUGAAUUUUAGGUGUACUUGUGGGAAAUCAAUAUUACUGUUUCAAGAGGCCUUUAUCAAGCCCCCUGCUUCUGCCCACCCUGCUCCUAUAGGCCUUGCCAGGACCCAGACGUACAAAGGAGGCUGGAAAAGCCAGAGCUGUUCCUGCGGGGGACUCACCCCUGUGUCCUGUCCUUGCUGCCCGCACCCUGCUCCCUUCUUACAUCUGCCUAGCGUCCUGCAUGCCUGGCACCGACCUGAUCUUUGUCGCUGAGACGGAGCAGCUUCUCCAGGGUAACCAAGAGAAGGUAUUCUCUUCCAAUGCAGGUAUUCCCCCUCCAUCCCCGGCCUCAGACUCUUGGGCUCCCCCUUGUGGCAGGCCCUGGCCAGGCCCACUUUCCCGACCUUCCCGGAGGUCUGAUAACCUGGGAAGCCACGAACCCCCUUUUUGGAAACUGUGGCUCCUCUGACCUGCAGAUUUCGCCAUUCCUGCGGGCUCCUAAGACCACGCCCCGGGCGCCUUUGGGAGGAGCAAGGGCGGCUCCGAGGGGAAAGCAGCCAUCUAGCGACCUGUGCUCCUCUUGGCAGCUGCUUUGUUAUUAAAACCAGUCCCAAGCC